GACGAACGCUGGCGGCGUGCUUAACACAUGCAAGUCGAACGGAAAGGCCCUGCUUUUGUGGGGUGCUCGAGUGGCGAACGGGUGAGUAACACGUGAGUAACCUGCCCUUGACUUUGGGAUAACUUCAGGAAACUGGGGCUAAUACCGGAUAGGAGCUCCUGCUGCAUGGUGGGGGUUGGAAAGUUUCGGCGGUUGGGGAUGGACUCGCGGCUUAUCAGCUUGUUGGUGGGGUAGUGGCUUACCAAGGCUUUGACGGGUAGCCGGCCUGCGCGGGGGACCGGCCAAAUUGGGACUGAGAUACGGCCCAGACUCCUACGGGAGGCAGCAGUGGGGAAUAUUGCACAAUGGGCGGAAGGCUGAUGCAGCAACGCCGCGUGCGGGAUGAGGGCCUUCGGGUUGUAAACCGCUUUCGCCUGUGACGAAGCGUGAGUGACGGUAAUGGGUAAAGAAGCACCGGCUAACUACGUG
This 468-nucleotide ribosomal RNA is filed under the name uncultured bacterium. RNAcentral's name for it is "partial 16S ribosomal RNA". It matches the Rfam family "Bacterial small subunit ribosomal RNA", at positions 28 to 507 of the family's 1533-position model. The record is from RNAcentral.